RNAcentral lists this ribosomal RNA (419 nucleotides) under uncultured bacterium. Its description in RNAcentral is "bacterial SSU rRNA". It matches the Rfam family "Bacterial small subunit ribosomal RNA", at positions 917 to 1338 of the family's 1533-position model. The record is from RNAcentral.
GGACCCGCACAAGCGGUGGAGCAUGUGGUUUAAUUCGAUGCAACGCGAAAAACCUUACCUACUCUUGACAUACUUGGGAGCUCUUGUAAUGAGAGUGUGCCUUUUGGAACCAAGAUACAGGUGCUGCAUGGCUGUCGUCAGCUCGUGUCGUGAGAUGUUCCGUUAAGUCGGAUAACGAGCGCAACCCUUACCCUUAUUUGCCAGCGAUUCGGUCGGGAACUAUAAGGGGACUGCCGGUGAUAAACCGGAGGAAGGUGAGGACGACGUCAAGUCAUCAUGGCCCUUACGAGUAGGGCUACACACGUGCUACAAUGGGGAAUACAGACGGACGCUAAGCCGCGAGGUGGUGCUAAUCCACAAAACCGGGCCCAGUUCGGAUUGGAGUCUGCAACUCGACUCCAUGAAGUUGGAAUCGCUAG